Molecule: ribosomal RNA, 497 nt
Filed under: uncultured bacterium
Lineage: Bacteria
Description: partial 16S ribosomal RNA
Rfam family: Bacterial small subunit ribosomal RNA
Source: RNAcentral
GAUGAACGCUGGCGGUGUGCCUAAUACAUGCAAGUCGAGCGAACAGACGAGGAGCUUGCUCCCUUGACGUUAGCGGCGGACGGGUGAGUAACACGUGGAUAACCUACCUAUAAGACUGGGAUAACUUCGGGAAACCGCAGCUACUAACGGAUAAUAUAUUGAACCGCAUGGUUCAAUAGUGAAAGACGGUUUUGCCGUUACUUAUAGACGGAUCCGUGCCGGAUUAGCUAGUUGGUAAGGUAACGGCCUACCAAGGCAACGAUGCGUAGCUGACCUGAGAGGGUGAUCAGCCACACUGGAACUGAGACACGGUCCAGACUCCUACGGGAGGCAGCAGUGGGGAAUAUUGGACAAUGGGCGCAAGCCUGACCCAGCCAUACCGCGUGGGUGAAGAAGGUCUUCGGGUUGUAAAGCCCUUUUGUUGGGAAAGAAAAGCAGCAGGUGAAUACCCGGCUGUUCUGACGGUACCCAAAGAAUAAGCACCGGCUAACUUCGUG